GCAGGUAUAGCUCAAGUGGUAGAGUGCAUGCUUAGCAUGCACAAGGCCCUGGGUUCAAUCCCCAGCAUCUCCU
This 73-nucleotide transfer RNA is filed under the name Camelus ferus (Wild Bactrian camel). It matches the Rfam family "tRNA". From Rfam's summary of the family: Transfer RNA (tRNA) molecules are approximately 80 nucleotides in length. Their secondary structure includes four short double-helical elements and three loops (D, anti-codon, and T loops). Further hydrogen bonds mediate the characteristic L-shaped molecular structure. tRNAs have two regions of fundamental functional importance: the anti-codon, which is responsible for specific mRNA codon recognition, and the 3' end, to which the tRNAs corresponding amino acid is attached (by aminoacyl-tRNA synthetases). tRNAs cope with the degeneracy of the genetic code in two manners: having more than one tRNA (with a specific anti-codon) for a particular amino acid; and 'wobble' base-pairing, i.e. permitting non-standard base-pairing at the 3rd anti-codon position. Lineage: Eukaryota; Metazoa; Chordata; Mammalia; Artiodactyla; Camelidae. The record is from Rfam by way of RNAcentral.